GAGGAAUAUUGGUCAAUGGACGAGAGUCUGAACCAGCCAAGUAGCGUGAAGGAUGACUGCCCUAUGGGUUGUAAACUUCUUUUAUACGGGAAUAAAGUUAGCCACGUGUGGCUUUUUGUAUGUACCGUAUGAAUAAGGAUCGGCUAACUCCGUGCCAGCAGCCGCGGUAAUACGGAGGAUCCGAGCGUUAUCCGGAUUUAUUGGGUUUAAAGGGAGCGUAGGCGGGUUGUUAAGUCAGUUGUGAAAGUUUGCAGCUCAACCGUAAAAUUGCAGUUGAUACUGGCGACCUUGAGUGCAACAGAGGUAGGCGGAAUUCGUGGUGUAGCGGUGAAAUGCUUAGAUAUCACGAAGAACUCCGAUUGCGAAGGCAGCUUACUGGAUUGUAACUGACGCUGAUGCUCGAAAGUGUGGGUAUCAAACAGGAUUAGAUACCCUGGUAGUCCACACAGUAAACGAUGAAUACUCGCUGUUGGCGAUAUACGGUCAGCGGCCAAGCGAAAGCAUUAAGUAUUCCACCUGGGGAGUACGCCGGCAACGGUGAAACUCAAAGGAAUUGACGGGGGCCCGCACAAGCGGAGGAACAUGUGGUUUAAUUCGAUGAUACGCGAGGAACCUUACCCGGGCUUAAAUUGCAACUGACUGAACCGGAAACGGUUCUUUCUUCGGACAGUUGUGAAGGUGCUGCAUGGUUGUCGUCAGCUCGUGCCGUGAGGUGUCGGCUUAAGUGCCAUAACGAGCGCAACCCUUAUCGAUAGUUACUAGCAGGUCAUGCUGAGGACUCUAUUGAGACUGCCGUCGUAAGAUGUGAGGAAGGUGGGGAUGACGUCAAAUCAGCACGGCCCUUACGUCCGGGGCUACACACGUGUUACAAUGGGGGGUACAGAAGGCAGCUACACGGCGACGUGGUGCUAAUCCCGAAAGCCUCUCUCAGUUCGGAUUGGAGUCUGCAACCCGACUCCAUGAAGCUGGAUUCGCUAGUAAUCGCGCAUCAGCCACGGCGCGGUGAAUACGUUCCCG
Molecule: ribosomal RNA, 1017 nt
Filed under: uncultured organism
Description: bacterial SSU rRNA
Rfam family: Bacterial small subunit ribosomal RNA
Source: RNAcentral